RNAcentral lists this long non-coding RNA (210 nucleotides) under Parus major (Great Tit). Its description in RNAcentral is "lncRNA (ENSPMJG00000000525.1)". The record is from RNAcentral. Lineage: Eukaryota; Metazoa; Chordata; Aves; Passeriformes; Paridae.
CCAACUCCAGGAGAAACCAAACUCUCACUGCAUGAACCAUGGCUUGUGAACACAACUGAAUAGAUCCAGAAUGAUUCAGCAGAUGAGGUGCAAGUUUUACACAGCCCAGGUGAUGUCACUGCCCCACAUGUGAAGCUCUGGAAGGAGACCCCGGCAAUGCAGUCUGCUAGGAAGCAUCACUUCAUAAAACUGCCUGAAACAACAGAAAAA